This 253-nucleotide ribosomal RNA is filed under the name uncultured Longilinea sp. RNAcentral's name for it is "partial 16S ribosomal RNA". It matches the Rfam family "Bacterial small subunit ribosomal RNA", at positions 524 to 776 of the family's 1533-position model. The record is from RNAcentral. Lineage: Bacteria; Bacillati; Chloroflexota; Anaerolineae; Anaerolineales; Anaerolineaceae.
AACGUAGGAGACGAGCGUUAUCCGGAUUUACUGGGCGUAAAGCGCGUGCAGGCGGCACGGAAAGUUGGAUGUGAAAGCUCCCGGCUUAACUGGGAGAGGUCGUUCAAAACUACCGAGCUAGAGUAUGGGAGAGGGAAGCGGAAUUCCGGGUGUAGUGGUGAAAUGCGUAGAUAUCCGGAGGAACACCAGUGGCGAAAGCGGCUUCCUGGCCCGAGACUGACGCUCAGACGCGAAAGCUAGGGUAGCAAACGGG